UGAGUAACACGUGGGCAAUCUGCCCUUCACUCUGGGACAAGCCCUGGAAACGGGGUCUAAUACCGGAUAACACUCUGUCCCGCAUGGGACGGGGUUAAAAGCUCCGGCGGUGAAGGAUGAGCCCGCGGCCUAUCAGCUUGUUGGUGGGGUGAUGGCCUACCAAGGCGACGACGGGUAGCCGGCCUGAGAGGGCGACCGGCCACACUGGGACUGAGACACGGCCCAGACUCCUACGGGAGGCAGCAGUGGGGAAUAUUGCACAACGGGCGAAAGCCUGAUGCAGCGACGCCGCGUGAGGGAUGACGGCCUUCGGGUUGUAAACCUCUUUCAGCAGGGAAGAAGCGAGAGUGACGGUACCUGCAGAAGAAGCGCCGGCUAACCACGUGCCAGCAGCCGCGGUAAUACGUAGGGCGCAAGCGUUGUCCGGAAUUAUUGGGCGUAAAGAGCUCGUAGGCGGCUUGUGGCGUCGGUUGUGAAAGCCCCGGGGCUUAAACCCCGGGUCUGCAGUCGAUACGGGCAGGCUAGAGUGUGGUAGGGGAGAUCGGAAUUCCUGGUGUAGCGGUGAAAUGCGCAGAUAUCAGGAGGAACACCGGUGGCGAAGGCGGAUCUCUGGGCCAUUACUGACGCUGAGGAGCGAAAGCGUGGGGAGCGAACAGGAUUAGAUACCCUGGUAGUCCCCGCCGUAAACGUUGGGAACUAGGUGUUGGCGACAUUCCACGUCGUCGGUGCCGCAGCUAACGCAUUAAGUUUCCCCGCCCUGGGGAGUACGGCCGCAAGGCUAAAACUCAAAGGAAAUUUGACGGGGGCCCGCACAAGCAGCGGAGCAUGUGGCUUAAUUCGACGCAACGCGAAGAACCUUCCCAAGGCUUGACAUAUACCGGAAAGCAUCAGAGAUGGUGCCCCCCUUGUGGUCGGUAUACAGGUGGUGCAUGGCUGUCGUCAGCUCGUGUCGUGAGAUGUUGGGUUAAGUCCCGCAACGAGCGCAACCCUUGUUCUGUGUUGCCAGCAUGCCCUUCGGGGUGAUGGGGACUCACAGGAGACUGCCGGGGUCAACUCGGAGGAAGGUGGGGACGACGUCAAGUCAUCAUGCCCCUUAUGUCUUGGGCUGCACACGUGCUACAAUGGCCGGUACAAUGAGCUGCGAUGCCGCGAGGCGGAGCGAAUCUCAAAAAGCCGGUCUCAGUUCGGAUUGGGGUCUGCAACUCGACCCCAUGAAGUCGGAGUUGCUAGUAAUCGCAGAUCAGCAUUGCUGCGGUGAAUACGUUCCCGGGCCUGGUACACAUCCCGCGUCAGUUCGUGAUAAGC
RNAcentral lists this ribosomal RNA (1305 nucleotides) under Streptomyces sp. Its description in RNAcentral is "bacterial SSU rRNA". It matches the Rfam family "Bacterial small subunit ribosomal RNA", at positions 107 to 1412 of the family's 1533-position model. The record is from RNAcentral. Lineage: Bacteria; Bacillati; Actinomycetota; Actinomycetes; Kitasatosporales; Streptomycetaceae.